RNAcentral lists this ribosomal RNA (1451 nucleotides) under metagenome. Its description in RNAcentral is "bacterial LSU rRNA". It matches the Rfam family "Bacterial large subunit ribosomal RNA", at positions 1449 to 2925 of the family's 2925-position model. The record is from RNAcentral.
GUAAGACAGAACUGUGGGGACACGUGUGGAGAGCAUAGGCGCGGAAUGGAAAGCCGCGUGCAAGCGAGGUAGGAGUCCUGUAGGAAAAACCGCAGGGCAAUCCGAAGGCGUGAUGCGGACCGAAAUCUAGUAGGGAAGUAUGUGAGCCAUGCGUCAAGAAAAGCCGCUAUUGUUCUUAUUGUACCCGUACCGUAAACCGACACAGGUGGAUGAGGAGAGAAUCCUAAGGCCGACGGAAGAAGCAUUGUUAAGGAACUCGGCAAAAUGACCCCGUAACUUCGGGAGAAGGGGUGCCACAGAAAUGUGGCCGCAGAGAAUAGGCACAAGCAACUGUUUAGCAAAAACACAGGUCUAUGCAAAACCGAAAGGUGAGGUAUAUGGGCUGACGCCUGCCCGGUGCUGGAAGGUUAAGAGGAGAGGUUAGCGCAAGCGAAGCUUUGAAUUGAAGCCCCAGUAAACGGCGGCCGUAACGAUAACGGUCCUAAGGUAGCGAAAUUCCUUGUCGGGUAAGUUCCGACCCGCACGAAAGGCGUAAUGAUUUGAGCGCUGUCUCGACAAUGCAUCCGGUGAAAUUGAAGUACCAGUGAAGAUGCUGGUUACCUGCGCCAGGACGGAAAGACCCCAUGGAGCUUUACUCCAGCUUGAUACUGGGAUCCGGUAUUGCAUGUACAGGAUAGGUGGGAGGCUGAGAAUCGGUAACGCCAGUUGCCGAGGAGCCAUUGUUGGGAUACCACCCUUGCAGUACUGGGUUUCUAACCAGCAGCCGUGACCCGGCUGGGGGACAAUGUCAGGUGGGGAGUUUGACUGGGGCGGUCGCCUCCGAAAGGGUAUCGGAGGCGCUCAAAGGUUCCCUCAGAAUGGUUGGAAACCAUUCGAAGAGUGCAAAGGCAGAAGGGAGCUUGACUGCGACACCGACGGGUGGAGCAGGUACGAAAGUAGGACUUAGUGAUCCGGUGGUAUUAAGUGGGAAUGCCAUCGUCCAACGGAUAAAAGCUACCCUGGGAUAACAGGCUUAUCACUCCCAAGAGUUCACAUCGACGGAGUGGUUUGGCACCUCGAUGUCGGCUCAUCGCAUCCUGGGGCUGUAGUAGGUCCCAAGGGUUGGGCUGUUCGCCCAUUAAAGCGGUACGCGAGCUGGGUUCAGAACGUCGUGAGACAGUUCGGUCCCUAUCCGGCGUGGGCGUAGGAUAUCUGAGAGGAGCUGUCCUUAGUACGAGAGGACCGGGAUGGACGGACCGCUGGUGUACCUGUUGCAGUGCCAGCUGCAUGGCAGGGUAGCCAAGUCCGGAAGGGAUAAACGCUGAAGGCAUCUAAGCGUGAAGCCCCCCUCAAGAUGAGAUAUCCCAUUCGAAAGAAGUAAGACCCCUUGAAGACGACGAGGUAGAUAGGGCAGAGGUGGAAGUGCAGUAAUGUAUGGAGCUGACUGUUACUAAUCGGUCGAGGGUUUGACC